Non-coding RNA from Vicugna pacos (alpaca), 928 nucleotides. Lineage: Eukaryota; Metazoa; Chordata; Mammalia; Artiodactyla; Camelidae. The record is from RefSeq and is a predicted model, not a curated record.
UACAGGGACCAGCAGAAGCAAAAGUCUGCAAAACGUGUCUGUCCAUAUCAGGGGCUGGUCCUUGGAGUAAUCACCAUAAAAACACCAGCAGUAGCAGCCACCCCAUAGGCACGGGUUCAUCCCUCCAUAUUUUUUCUCACUGACUCCUAACAAUAGCCCGGCCAGGUGAGAACACGUCCAGGCUCAGAGAGGUUACGUAACUGAGAGGCCCAAGUUCACGACUGGAAGUAAUCCAGGGCUGCCUGGUGCGAGCUCACGGUCUCUGAGGUCGGACUGAGGACAGGGAGGGAAGCCGGCUCCGCAGUAGAAACGCUUCGCCUUUGGGGAAGAGGUAUGCACCCAUCAGGCCAAACUCGUCUCUGUCUUUGCGGGAGAAGGUGCGAAGGCCUUAGGACCCUGAGAGCGGCCGAGGAGGUCUUUUGGCCCAAGGACCUGGGAACGAUGGAUCAACUUUACCAUGAGAGCUUUUACAGUUGCCAAAGUGUGGAAGGUCAACGUCACAGCUGCAGCCUUCACAAGGAGGUGGAGUUGUUUAUAGCCUGAUGCAGGGCCUGGAUGUGGCGCUGUUCCCUUCACCUGAAAGGCCACCUCCGUUCCAAAGCUUACCAGCAUAAUGGAUAUGUUUCCUUUAUAUCUCAACAAGCAACACCUCCUUGCUGAAGCUUUUCUUCAUCUUCCGUAAUGGAUCAGGCCUGGGAGAGGCUUCCCCACUUUAACAGCUGUGCCUGGCAUCGCUCAGGGACUCAAUGUCCAGCACGGAUUUGCUUCCAAGCAGGACUCUCGUGACUCUCAACAGGACAGGUUGCCUGCAAAUGAAAAUAAAAUGGAGAGGGAGGUUGGGGAGGCUUGGGUUUCAGACAUCUUUCACUGAGGAAUUAGUUUUAAAGAGACACACCGCAAUAAAGCAUGCACUGAGGCCAGACACCGC